GUGUCAGCAGCCGCGGUAAGACGAACCGUCCAAACGUUAUUCGGUAUCACUGGGCUUAAAGCGUUCGUAGGCGGCCUAGUAGGUGAGAUGUGAAAGCCCACGGCUCAACCGUGGAACAGCGUUUCAAACCACUAGGCUCGAGGAUGGCAGGGGUAAUGGGAACUGAUGGUGGAGCGGUGAAAUGCGUUGAUAUCAUCAGGAACACCGGUGGCGAAAGCGCAUUACUGGGCCAUUUCUGACGCUGAGGAACGAAAGCUAGGGUAGCGAACGGGAUUAGAUACCCCGGUAGUCCUAGCCGUAAACGAUGAGCACUGGGUUGAGGGGACUUCCACAUCUUCUCGGCCGUAGCGAAAGCGUUAAGUGCUCCGCCUGGGGAGUAUGGUCGCAAGGCUGAA
This 395-nucleotide ribosomal RNA is filed under the name uncultured bacterium. Its description in RNAcentral is "bacterial SSU rRNA". It matches the Rfam family "Bacterial small subunit ribosomal RNA", at positions 505 to 898 of the family's 1533-position model. The record is from RNAcentral.